RNAcentral lists this ribosomal RNA (253 nucleotides) under uncultured bacterium. RNAcentral describes it as "partial 16S ribosomal RNA". It matches the Rfam family "Bacterial small subunit ribosomal RNA", at positions 524 to 776 of the family's 1533-position model. The record is from RNAcentral.
UACGUAGGGGGCAAGCGUUGUCCGGAAUCAUUGGGCGUAAAGCGCGUGUAGGCGGUUUGCAGAGUCUGGUGUGAAAUCUUGGGGCUCAACCCCAAGCUGUCACUGGAUACUGGCAGACUCGAGUCCGGAAGAGGAGUGUGGAAUUCCUGGUGUAGCGGUGGAAUGCGCAGAUAUCAGGAGGAACACCAAUGGCGAAGGCAGCACUCUGGUACGUGACUGACGCUGAGACGCGAAAGCGUGGGGAGCAAACAGG